AUACGGAGGGUGCAAGCGUUACUCGGAAUCACUGGGCGUAAAGCGCGCGCAGGCGGCUAUUUAAGUUGGAUGUGAAAGCCUACGGCUCAACCGUAGAACUGCAUCCAAAACUAUUUAGCUAGAGUGUGGGAGAGGAAGAUGGAAUUAGUUGCGUAGGGGUAAAAUCCGUAGAGAUAACUAGGAAUACCAAAAGCGAAGGCAAUCUUCUGGAACACUACUGACGCUGAGGCGCGAAAGCGUGGGGAGCAAACAGGAUUAGAAACCCUUGUAGUCC
Molecule: ribosomal RNA, 274 nt
Filed under: uncultured bacterium
Lineage: Bacteria
Description: partial 16S ribosomal RNA
Rfam family: Bacterial small subunit ribosomal RNA
Source: RNAcentral